RNAcentral lists this ribosomal RNA (539 nucleotides) under uncultured bacterium. Its description in RNAcentral is "partial 16S ribosomal RNA". It matches the Rfam family "Bacterial small subunit ribosomal RNA", at positions 355 to 911 of the family's 1533-position model. The record is from RNAcentral.
UGGGGAAUCUUGCGCAAUGGGCGAAAGCCUGACGCAGCCAUGCCGCGUGGAUGAUGAAGGUCUUAGGAUUGUAAAAUCCUUUCACCGGUGAAGAUAAUGACUGUAGCCGGAGAAGAAGCCCCGGCUAACUUCGUGCCAGCAGCCGCGGUAAUACGAAGGGGGCUAGCGUUGCUCGGAAUUACUGGGCGUAAAGGGAGCGUAGGCGGACAUUUAAGUCAGGGGUGAAAUCCCGGAGCUCAACUCCGGAACUGCCUUUGAUACUGGAUGUCUUGAGUGUGAGAGAGGUGAGUGGAACUCCGAGUGUAGAGGUGAAAUUCGUAGAUAUUCGGAAGAACACCAGUGGCGAAGGCGACUCACUGGCUCAUUACUGACGCUGAGGCUCGAAAGCGUGGGGAGCAAACAGGAUUAGAUACCCUGGUAGUCCACGCCGUAAACGAUGAUUGCUAGUUGCCGGGGAGCUUGCUCUUCGGUGACGCAGCUAACGCAUUAAGCAAUCCGCCUGGGGGAGUACGGUCGCAAGAUUAAAACUUAAAGGAAUU